GCAAAAUCGACCCAGCAACAAAAAAAUCCAAUUGGAUAAUCCGAUUUCUCUAAUCGCUCCAAUCAAAGACAGUGUCGAUUCGCGCCGCGAGUCUUGCUUCGUCGGAGACGGUGCUGCUGCGUCGUACACGGUGGUGUUUCGUUGAUUCACGUAAGUCUUCUAAAACGUUGGAGAUUCGCGCCGAGUCUUACUUCGUCGAGUCUUGCUUCGUCGAAGGCGGUGGUGCUUUGCCGUUAUACGACGAGUCUUGCUUCGUCGAAGGCGGUGGUGCUUUGCCGUUUCACGCCGAGUCUUGCUUCGUCGAAGACGGUGGUGCUUCCAAAUCAUUGGUGCUUUGCCGAUUAGAGCCGCGAAUCUUCCUCCUUCACGGUAGUGCUUCUUCGCGAGUCUUUCUUCUUCACAGUGGUGCUUCUUCGCGAGUCAUUCUUGUUCGGUGGUACUUCGCCGAGUCUUACUUCGUCGAAGGCGGUGGUGCUUUGCCGUUUCACGCCGAGUUUUGCUUCGUCGAAGGCGGUGGUGCUUCCAAUUCGUUGGUGCUUUGCUGAUUAGAGCCGCGAAUCUUUCUUCUUCACGGUGGUGCUUCUUCGCGAGUCAUUCUUGUUCGGUGGUACUUCGCCGAGUCGUAUUCUUAUUCAAUUGAAGAUUGAAGAAUGGAUGCUCCUAAUCAACAGGUUGUGUGGGUGGCUAGUGAGCUAACGGUUCCCCGGCUGAACCAUCUGAUUGGUCUCAUCAAUCAAUGGUCCAUGAACAGUAUUGAGUACGAGAAUGGAGCGAUUGUGCAGAUUGCAUAUCAGUGGGUUCCAGGUACUAUUGUACCAUACUUUGGACUUGGUGGAGGUGGCUUUGGCGGUGAAAGGAGAUGGUGGGGGUGGUGGAGGUGGAGGUGGCUUUGGCG
Arabidopsis lyrata subsp. lyrata is the source of this 895-nucleotide long non-coding RNA. RefSeq lists it as uncharacterized. The transcript has 2 exons. Lineage: Eukaryota; Viridiplantae; Streptophyta; Magnoliopsida; Brassicales; Brassicaceae. The record is from RefSeq and is a predicted model, not a curated record.